Molecule: non-coding RNA, 128 nt
Filed under: Desulfobacteraceae bacterium
Lineage: Bacteria; Pseudomonadati; Thermodesulfobacteriota; Desulfobacteria; Desulfobacterales; Desulfobacteraceae
Description: SAM-I-IV sequence
Rfam family: SAM-I/IV (S-adenosyl methionine) riboswitch aptamer
About the family: It is found upstream of a number of genes which code for proteins involved in methionine or cysteine biosynthesis. It has been found mostly in the order Actinomycetales.
Source: RNAcentral
CACUUGCAUUAAGAGAGGCAUAGGUGGUUUACACUGAAUGCCCGGCAACCUGACAACCAAGGUGCCAAGCUUGUUCCUGCGUAAGCGGAAUGGCAAUGCGCCCCGAAAGGGGAACGUUGAAGAUGAUU